RNAcentral lists this ribosomal RNA (401 nucleotides) under Pseudopediastrum boryanum. RNAcentral's name for it is "partial small subunit ribosomal RNA". It matches the Rfam family "Eukaryotic small subunit ribosomal RNA", at positions 30 to 432 of the family's 1831-position model. The record is from RNAcentral. Lineage: Eukaryota; Viridiplantae; Chlorophyta; Chlorophyceae; Sphaeropleales; Hydrodictyaceae.
GCUUGUCUCAAAGAUUAAGCCAUGCAUGUCUAAGUAUAAACUGCUUAUACUGUGAAACUGCGAAUGGCUCAUUAAAUCAGUUAUAGUUUAUUUGAUGGUACCUUCUACUCGGAUAACCGUAGUAAUUCUAGAGCUAAUACGUGCGUAAAACCCGACUUCUGGAAGGGUCGUAUAUAUUAGAUAAAAGGCCGACCGAGCUUUGCUCGACCCGCGGUGAAUCAUGAUAUCUUCACGAAUCGCACGGCCUUGUGCCGGCGAUGUUUCAUUCAAAUUUCUGCCCUAUCAUGGUUGAGAUUGUAAGAUAGAGGCUUACAAUGCCUACAACGGGUAACGGGGAAUUAGGGUUCGAUUCCGGAGAGGGAGCCUGAGAAACGGCUACCACAUCCAAGGAAGGCAGCAGG